Molecule: ribosomal RNA, 492 nt
Filed under: uncultured bacterium
Lineage: Bacteria
Description: partial 16S ribosomal RNA
Rfam family: Bacterial small subunit ribosomal RNA
Source: RNAcentral
AGUGAACGCUGGCGGUAGGCCUAACACAUGCAAGUCGAACGGCAGCACAGUAAGAGCUUGCUCUUACGGGUGGCGAGUGGCGGACGGGUGAGGAAUACAUCGGAAUCUACUUUUUCGUGGGGGAUAACGUAGGGAAACUUACGCUAAUACCGCAUACGACCUACGGGUGAAAGCAGGGGAUCUUCGGACCUUGCGCGAUUGAAUGAGCCGAUGUCGGAUUAGCUAGUUGGCGGGGUAAAGGCCCACCAAGGCGACGAUCCGUAGCUGGUCUGAGAGGAUGAUCGGCCGCACUGGAACUGGGACACGGUCCAGGCUCCUACGGGAGGCAGCAGUGGGGAAUAUUGGACAAUGGGCGCGAGCCUGAUCCAGCCAUACCGCGUGGGUGAAGAAGGCCUUCGGGUUGUAAAGCCCUUUUGUUGGGAAAGAAAAGCAGCAGGUUAAUACCCCGCUGUUCUGACGGUACCCAAAGAAUAAGCACCGGCUAACUUCGUG